Monodelphis domestica (gray short-tailed opossum) is the source of this 4776-nucleotide non-coding RNA. Lineage: Eukaryota; Metazoa; Chordata; Mammalia; Didelphimorphia; Didelphidae. The record is from the annotation of a RefSeq genome assembly.
GUUUCAUGCUUCUGUAGCUCAGGGAAGGGAUUCCUCACAGUGGAAGGCAGCUGCUCUUCCUCCCAUUAAACAGAGGAAGACAUGCAAAUGGGGCUCCUCCCUCUGGCCAUGAACCCAGCACAAAACCUGUGUCUGCUGCUCUAGGAGAGGAGCUUCUCCUUGUGUGGCCUUUCCCAGCUGAGGACUGACACUGUAGAGCCUGAAUCAUGGGAUUUGGACUCAAUGGCAUUUUCAUUCUGAUGAUUUUGCAAGGUGUCCAUUGUGACAUUCAGCUGGUGGAGUCUGGGGGAGAUGUGAGACAGCCUGGAGGAUCCUUGAAACUCUCCUGCAAAGCUUCUGGAUUCACCUUCAGCAGCUACUACAUGAGUUGGGUCCGCCAGGCUCCAGGGAAGGGGCUGGAGUGGGUCUCAGGUAUUGAUACUGGAAGUGGCACAUACUACGCAGACUCUGUGAAAGGUCGAUUCACCAUCUCCAGGGACAAUGGCAACAGCCUGCUGCACCUGCAGAUGAAUUCCCUGAAAGCCGAGGACACAGCCAUGUAUUACUGUGCAAGAGACACAGUGAGGGAGAGCAGUGAGAGAGCAGACAAAAACCUCCUCAUCAGAGAGUUCUGGUGGAGAAUGACAGAGAGGGAACUCCAGAACUCUGAGCACAAGGAUCCCAGUUACAACAACAGGUGAAGAGGGAGGCUGACAAGUGUCUUUUCAAGGCGGUGAUUUUCUCACAAACCCCAGUGAACGUCCCUCUCUCUGUCUCAAUCCCUUUUUGUCUCUGCUGCUCUUUCCUGCUUCUGAUUAGCAGAGGCUCAGGGAGGAGACGUAUUCUCUUAAUGGUUUACAUAUUUUGUAUAUCGUAACUCUAAUUUCUCUGAUGUUGUCAGUCAUGAAGUAGAGCCGAGGUCACAUGACAAAUGAGGAAUCACUGAACAUUCACUACAGGCAUCCUGCAAGGGUUUUCAUACACUCUGAGCACAGGGAAGCACACUUGUGCAUGGAAGUCAGCUGGUGUAUCAUGUCAGUCUGGGGGGAAACUUUUAAAAAACUUUUUUUUUUUAACCUUUGCAUAGGCAGCUGCCUAAGAAGGUGGGAUUCGCGCUCUCAGCCUCUUCUCAUUUCAGUCAGAGUUUCAGAUGUCUUUUGACCUCAUUGGAAGAUGCUUGCUGUGGUCUAUACAAGCAGGAUUUAUGGAAGGUCCUUCCAAUGCUUCUCUGGGGAUAGAAGUGGAAGAAACUCCUUUAACUUCCGUUUAUGAGCUGGCUUCAUUUAAUUAGGGUUAAGUCUAGAUGCUCUGUUCACCAUCUAACAUAGGUGUAUAUAUAUGUGUGUGUAUGUAUGUGUAUCUUUUUUGUGUGUGUUCAUUGUGAUCUUUCCAUGUGUAUAUCCACAUUUGUGCAUAUAUGGGAGGAAUCUAACUGGAGGGAAUAUGAGGCUCAACCAGACUUUUCAUAUGAUCAAAAUCUUAUUCCUUUUGUCCCUUUGGAGGGGGUUUCCAUGCUGGCUUGCCCAGCUCAAAGGCCUUUGUGGUGGUCUUCAUUGGGACUGGGCCAUGUGGGAGGCCUGUGCUGGGGUCUUGGGACUUGAGACUUGGGGCUGCUUGGGGCCUCCCUGUGAACCUGUGCUAGGGGCAGGGCCUCACUGGUGCUUGUGCCAGGUUGAAGCCUUGUUUCUGUGGGCAUUUGUCCUGGCUAGAGGCCUGGCUGAGCCCUUGCUAUAGGCCCUUGCUAGGAGUGGGACCUCAUAGCUCACUUUGCUGCCUAGAGUUAGCCCGGACUGUCCCUGUCACGUGGGCUGGGGCUCCCCCUUCUCUGACUGGGACUCAGCUUGCCUUUGCUUAGACUGGCUAGGAUGAAGCCUUACUCAGAAUGCUCCAACUGUGCUUCCCUCCAAGGCCUGUGGGACUAACCUUAUCUGCUGGCUCUCUGGGCUGCUCUGGUCUGCAGGACUCUUAACUGCUUUUAAAUUCAGAGCUGCAGGGAACCAAAGAGAACCUUUCUGGCAAUCCAAGAACAUUACCUCAAGCUGGGAGCUGAAGAAGAAGCAGAAUCAAACUGUGGUAAUUCAGAACUAAUAUACAAAGGAAUUUGUGGGCCAAUAUUUUGUUGAAAAGUGUCCUUUCUGCUGGUAUAGUUGGAUAUUAUUUCCAUGCUUUAAAAAUUCCCUAGUGAAGAUAUGCUCUAACAGGCUUUGUGAUUCCCCUGCAUCAGACAUCCUUGGGCUUCUUUAAGGAUUUGUCCAGAAUAGUGGAAAAAGUAGACUGAUGCACUAAAACUCAUGCAAGAUUUAGACUACCAAUGUUGAAUUACUUAAUGAUGCUCUUAAUGUGCUCACUAUUGUAUGAGCUGAUUUUUAAUAUAGGAGCUAUCUUUAUUUAUAUUAGCAAUCUUCCUAUAAAUAAAAGCAGAAUGUAUAAAAAUAUUCAGUUUCAUGAAAGAAUAAUCUACAGAUACUUUGAGAAUAUUUAUGCAAUAACUUGUUUUUGUAUCAAGCCCUUACUAAAUAACAAAUAGUAAUUAAUUAACAAGUUUUGAUUUUUCCCUUUAAAUAUCAAAUACUAUGUUUAUGUGUGUACAUAUAUACUAUAUAUGUAUAAUUAUGUAUAUAUACAUGUCUUAAGAGUUGUUAUUAAUUGAUUGACCCUGUUGUCUUUUAGAAGAAUGGAAUUUCUGUGUUUAUCUUUUAAAGUUAAUUUUAUUUUUGCUCUUGCUUAUUUGCUAUCAUGCAAGCUCUUUUGAGGUGACUUGAAGCUUAAUAGAGUUGACUGCAGUCUGUUUGAAAAUUAUUUUUUCUAUCCUUUGCCAUUUUUUCAUUAUUUAAUUCAGCAAAAUUAGUCUCCAAGUAAAUUGUGAAAAUAAUACUUUCUUAAUGUCCUCUGAUUUUUUAAAAACAUCAUAACGUUUCCCUGCAUCCCUGACUCUCUUCUCUACCUAGGGAGUCAUCAUAUCUAACAAUAUUUUAAAAUAACAUUUUAUUUUUCUCAAAUUACAUGUAAAAAUAAUUUAACAUUUAGAAAAAAUACUUCCAAAUUUUCUCCUUCCAUACAGCAAUUUUUUAGAGAUUUUAUAAAAGCAAUCAUGUAAAAUAAUAUUCCCUAGAGGUCCUUUAGUGGAGGAGAUCUAAAAAAAAGAAGAAAGUGAAAUAUAGUGCAUCAGUUCCUUCUCUGGAGGAAUAUGGCAUUUUUUGUUAUGAGUCUCUGGGAUUGCAUCAUAUCACUCUACUGAUGAUAAUAGCUAGGUGAUUCACACUUGCUCAUCAAACAAUAUUACUACUAUUGUGUACAAUGUUCUUUUGACUCUAUUCACUUCACUUUGCAUCAAUUCAUCAUGUCUUUCCAGGUUUUCCUAAAAUCCUCAUCAUCAUCAUUUCUGAUAGCACAAAUAAUAUUACAUUACCAUUACAACUUCUAUAUCCAUUCUCAAAUUGAUUGACAUUCCAUCUGUUUUCAAUUCUUUCCUACCACAAAAGAGCUGCUAUUAAUAUUUUUGUACUUCGACAGGCCGGCUAAACCUUGUGAAGGUAGCAAUCGGGUCGUCGUAGACCCCUGGUGAACCAGGGCUUUGCUCACCCGGCAUGUGAUGACUGUUUCGGCGGAAAAGGCUGAAGAAAGCAACAAGAAGGUUCCACGGCUGAGAUGGCGAUACAGCAGGGAACCAUGUGGAGUGCUUAGGGCGUGUUGGAGCACAAAAGACAACACGGCCAUUCAACGCAGCUGAGGAAGUCUCCAGGUGUAAUGACUUUUCGUGCCAAUGGACCCAGGCUUCCAAUGCCGAGAGAGUGGGACUGUCUCUGUGCAUCAAUUUUUCCACUUAAAUCUUUAUGCACAAGUGUCUUUGUGCACAAAAACGCACAAAGACAAUCGUCAUCCUCAGUUACCGAGAGACUACUACAACUAGGUACUUAUCCCUUUAUAAAAAUCUCUUUGUGAUUCACACUUACUUGUGGUAUUAUUGGAUGAAAGGAUAUACAGUUUAAGAUCCCUUUGUACAUAGAUGUAAAAUAUUUUUAAAGAAAACUGAAGAUGAGAAGAAAAUCAUCAAGUUAUACAUUUCAAAAGUCUGGAAUUAUGUACAAUUACAGUUUUGUGAGACCCUUUAUCUUCACAAAGCUCUGGGGUUAGAGCCAUCUCAUACAUUUACUUUGGAAUUAUGAUUUUUGUUUGUAAUUAUGAAACAUUCACUUUCUUCUCUUUAAGUGUGGUUGUUUCUUCCUUUUCAUUGCUGUUGUCAUAUUUAUUGGUUUCUUAACUCUGCUUCCUUCUUUCUGAAUCAGUUGAUAAAAUCUUUCCAUUUUUUCUAUAUUCAACAUAUACAUAACUUCUUAAUACCAAGGAAUAUUUCGUGAAUGUAAGUAAAUGUACCACAGUGUUUAGCCAGUCCCCAAACAAUGGAUAUGAUUGAAAAUAACUUUCACCCCCUUAUGGAAGCCCCACAAAACUUCCUUGUGUUCCAGCUUCCUAAAGGCUGGCCUGGUAAUUUCUUCUUCUCACACAAUUUGAGGAUUCUAGCUUCCUAAAGCAACUUUUUGACUGAGAGCCUUAAAAAGUCUGAUCUAUGUGUAAUUUGGAUUUCUCAGAUUUGCUCAUUAUUUCGAUUAAUUUCUCUGCCUCAUUUUUAUAUAGGUGAUUUUGUCUUUUAAACUAUUAUUUUAUUCAGAUUCUCUAAAUACCAAAGUUACUAUGUCAUGGUAUGUGAAGAAAUGAAAAAGGGUGGAACUGACAGGGGCUGGUGGUGGUGACUCUGGGAGAGGAAGGGAGAGGUGAGGGAAAGAAGGGUUAAUGGAU